CGGGCGAGCACGCAGAGGCCAUCGCCAGCCGUGAGCAGGAGGUGUUGCAGGGCUGGAAGGAGCUGCUGGCAGCCUGUGAGGAUGCUCGUCUGCACGUCAGCUCCACGGCUGACGCCCUGCGCUUCCACAGCCAGGCCCGAGACUUGCUCUCCUGGAUGGACGGCAUCGCGGGCCAGAUCGGGGCAGCUGACAAACCCAGGGAUGUAUCAUCCGUGGAGGUGCUUAUGAACUACCACCAGGGCCUGAAGACAGAAUUGGAGGCUCGUGUGCCUGAGCUGACAGCCUGCCAGGAGCUGGGGCGUUCUCUAUUACUCA
This 315-nucleotide long non-coding RNA is filed under the name Rattus norvegicus (Norway rat). RNAcentral describes it as "long non-coding RNA NONRATT002437". The record is from RNAcentral. Lineage: Eukaryota; Metazoa; Chordata; Mammalia; Rodentia; Muridae.